CCUACGGGAGGCAGCAGUGGGGAAUAUUGGACAAUAGGGGCAACCCUGAUCCAGCGACGCCGCGUGUGUGAAGAAGGCCUGCGGGUCGUAAAGCACUUUUAGUGGGGACAAAAAGCCCUGGGUUAAUACCCUUGGGUCUUGAUUUAACCCAAAGAAUAAGCACCGGCUAACUAUGUGCCAGCAGCCGCGGUAAU
Molecule: ribosomal RNA, 194 nt
Filed under: uncultured bacterium
Lineage: Bacteria
Description: partial 16S ribosomal RNA
Rfam family: Bacterial small subunit ribosomal RNA
Source: RNAcentral